This 214-nucleotide ribosomal RNA is filed under the name uncultured bacterium. RNAcentral describes it as "partial 16S ribosomal RNA". It matches the Rfam family "Bacterial small subunit ribosomal RNA", at positions 273 to 504 of the family's 1533-position model. The record is from RNAcentral.
CCGACGAUCAGUAGCCGGCCUGAGAGGGUGGACGGCCACAUUGGGACUGAGACACGGUCCAAACUCCUACGGGAGGCAGCAGUGGGGAAUAUCGCACAAUGGGCGAAAGCCUGAUGCAGCAACGCCGCGUGAGCGAUGAAGUAUUUCGGUAUGUAAAGCUCUAUCAGCAGGGAAGAAACUGACGGUACCUGACUAAGAAGCACCGGCUAAAUAC